This 492-nucleotide ribosomal RNA is filed under the name uncultured bacterium. RNAcentral describes it as "partial 16S ribosomal RNA". It matches the Rfam family "Bacterial small subunit ribosomal RNA", at positions 29 to 507 of the family's 1533-position model. The record is from RNAcentral.
AGUGAACGCUGGCGGUAGGCCUAACACAUGCAAGUCGAACGGCAGCACAGUAAGAGCUUGCUCUUACGGGUGGCGAGUGGCGGACGGGUGAGGAAUACAUCGGAAUCUACUUUUUCGUGGGGGAUAACGUAGGGAAACUUACGCUAAUACCGCAUACGACUUACGGGUGAAAGCAGGGGAUCUUCGGACCUUGCGCGAUUGAAUGAGCCGAUGUCGGAUUAGCUAGUUGGCGGGGUAAAGGCCCACCAAGGCGACGAUCCGUAGCUGGUCUGAGAGGAUGAUCAGCCACACUGGAACUGAGACACGGUCCAGACUCCUACGGGAGGCAGCAGUGGGGAAUAUUGGACAAUGGGCGCAAGCCUGAUCCAGCAAUACCGCGUGGGUGAAGAAGGCCUUCUGGUUGUAAAGCCCUUUUGUUGGGAAAGAAAAGCAGCAGGUUAAUACCCCGCUGUUCUGACGGUACCCAAAGAAUAAGCACCGGCUAACUUCGUG